Molecule: long non-coding RNA, 252 nt
Filed under: Capsella rubella
Lineage: Eukaryota; Viridiplantae; Streptophyta; Magnoliopsida; Brassicales; Brassicaceae
Description: long non-coding RNA (CRUB_LNC001909)
Source: RNAcentral
GCUGACAGCCUUUUCUCCUUUCGGUUGUUUGUUUCAGCAACCUUCUUGCCAGACCUCAAGGUCUUUGGUAUCACUUUUUCCUGACCAUUCUCAUCAUCAGAUGUCUCAUUUUCAGCAUCAUCAUCAUCAUCAGAUGUCUCAUUUUCAGCAUCAUCAUCAUCCUCAGAGACAGCUUCAGAAACCUUCUUGCUGGAUUUUAAGGGCAUGGGCUUCGCCUCAUCAUCAUCACGACCUUCCUCAUCAUCAUCUUCA